GGGGAAUAUUGCGCAAUGGGGGAAACCCUGACGCAGCGACGCCGUGUGAGGGAAGAAGGCUUUCGGGUCGUAAACCUCUGUCGGGAAGGAAGAACCCCCCAGGUCCGAAUAGGGCCUGGGGCUGACGGUACUUCCAGAGGAAGCACCGGCUAACUCCGUGCCAGCAGCCGCGGUAAUACGGAGGAUCCGAGCGUUAUCCGGAUUUAUUGGGUUUAAAGGGUGCUCAGGCGGGGGAUUAAGUCGGCGGUGAAAUUUUGCAGCUCAACUGUAAAAGGGCCGUGGAAACUGGUUUCCGUGAGGGCGGAUGAGGUAGGCGGAAUUUGUGGUGUAGCGGUGAAAUGCAUAGAUAUCACGAGGAACUCCGAUUGCGCAGGCAGCUUACCAAGCCGUAACUGACGCUCAAGCACGAAGGCGUGGGGAUCAAACA
Molecule: ribosomal RNA, 427 nt
Filed under: uncultured Porphyromonadaceae bacterium
Lineage: Bacteria; Pseudomonadati; Bacteroidota; Bacteroidia; Bacteroidales; Porphyromonadaceae
Description: bacterial SSU rRNA
Rfam family: Bacterial small subunit ribosomal RNA
Source: RNAcentral